Gopherus flavomarginatus (Mexican gopher tortoise) is the source of this 2505-nucleotide long non-coding RNA. RefSeq lists it as uncharacterized. NCBI's taxonomy places the organism in Eukaryota, Metazoa, Chordata, Testudines, Testudinidae. The transcript is spliced from 3 exons. The record is from RefSeq and is a predicted model, not a curated record.
GAUCUAAAGGAAAAGCAAAUGCGUAGAGCCACAAUAUGGCGGCGAGCAGAGCGCGCAGUGGGCGGGGCCUAAAGGAGGCGCGGGGGCGGGGCUGCAGAACUCUUCCCCAGAGAGGGGAUGAAAGGACUUGAGGGUACCCCACAGGAAGAAAUUCCAAAGUGUGCCUUCCUUGGCUCUCAAAGGGGUUCUGCACUUGAGUGGUGGCAUCAUCUACCAAUCCAAGUGGAACCAAGCCCAAGUCCACAAUCCAGCGAGGAACUAAUGUAUCUAGCAUCAAGAAAGCAGUUUCAGGCAGAGCAGGAAGUGGAUGAAAGCCUCAAGGGAGCUUGGAUGGUGGCAUGGAGCAACCCACCACCUCUCAGCUCUUCUAAUAGAUCCAGGUUUGUUGUAGGAGGACUCUUAUACAAGGAGUGGGCACAAGGAGGACUGGCAUCCUCAGAGACAGUUGGUAGUCCCAACUAAGAAUAGGGAAAAGCUCUUGAGCUUAGUCCACGAUCACCCUAGUGGCCAUGCUGGGUGAAUAGGACAAAAGACCAUCUGGGAAAGUCAUUCGACUGGGAGGGAAUGGGCAAGGACAUUUCUACCUAUGUCUGGUCUUGUGAGGUGUGCCAGAGGGUGGGAAAGCCCCAAGACCAGGUCAAGGCCCCUCUCCAGCCACUCCCCAUAAUUGAGGUUCCAUUUCAGUGUGUAGCUGUGGAUAUUCUGGGUCCUUUCCCUAAGAAGAUACCCAGAGGAAAUCUGUACUGACCUUAAUGGAUUUUGCCACUCAAUGACCAGAAGCAGUAGCUCUAAGUAACACCAGGGCUAAAAGCAUGAGCCAAGCAUUGGCAGAAAUUUUUGCCAGGAUAAGUUGGCCCUCCGACAUCCUUACAGAUCCUUACUAACUUCCUGACAGGGACCAUGAAACGUCUUUGGGAAGCUCAUGGGGUGAACCACUUGGUUGCCACCCCUUACCACCAUCAAAUGAAUGGCCUAGUGGAGAAGUUUAAUGGAACUUUGGGGGCCAUGAUACGUAAAUUUGUGAAUAAGCACUCCAAUGAUUGGACCCUAGUGUUGCAGCAGUUGCUUUUUGCCUACAGGGCUGUACCUCAUCCUAGUUUGGGGUUUUCACUCUUUGAACUCGUUUAUGGCCAUGAAGUUAAGGGGCCAUUGCAGUUGGUGAAGCAUCAAUGGAGGGGGGUUACAUCUUCUCCAGGAACUAACAUUUUGGGGUUUUCUGCUGCUGUCUCCUGGUUCCUCCUGGCCGGCCUCGGUGAGGUCAGUCGGGGGCUCCUGGGAAGACAUGGGUGCUCCUGGCCAGCCUCGGUGAGGUCGGUCGGGAGUGCCUGAGCAGACAUGAGUGCUCCUGGCUGACCUCGGUGAGGUCGAUCUGGGGCGCCUGGACAUAAACGGGAGUGACUCCAGGUCAUUUCCUUCUUUACGUUUUGUCUAAUGGAGAGUCAGUCCUGCCUGGAAUAUCAGGUAAGCCUACCAAAGAACCAGAAAGGCAAAGGGCCGCUCUGGGUCAGAGCCCCAAACUUCCCAUUUCUAUGAUGAGCUGCAGGAAGAAUGUGGCCAGCAGCAGUGCAGGAGAGAAGGGAAGGCAUGGGAGCUGCUUCCAGCUGCCGGGGAAUGGGGAUGACCAGGGGCAGCUCUAUGUUUUUUGCUGCCCCAAGCACGGCAGUCAGGUGGCCUUUGGUGUCACGCCUGUGGGCUGUCCACUGGUCACGCGGAUUCGGCGGCGUUUCUGCGGGUGAUCUGCCGGUCUCGCGCCUUUGUACCUGCCGCUGAAUUGCCACCGAAGCCGCGGGAAUGGUGGGCCUCCCACAGUCAUGCCGCCAAAGGCUGCCUGACUGCCGCCCUAACGGUGACCUGUAUGCAACCUCCCGUGGCUUGCCAUCCCAGGCACACACUUGCUGCGCUGGUGCCUGGAGCCGCCCUGGGGAUGAAUUGGCCCAUGUCUUUGCAAAGCUCAUCUCUUCUCCCCCUACUCCUACCCCCCCGCCCCCCACAUCCUGGUGCUGGAAGUAGCUUGUCCCUUCCUACCUGCAUAGUGUUGAAAGGCAGCUAACACCUCCAGGCUGCUGCUGGCCACUGACAUAACCCAGCUGCAGCACAGGCAGGAAGGGGUUAAGCCCUAAGGAUUAACAUUGUCAACCCUCCAAGAUUGCCCUGAAGUCUUCAGGAAUUAAAGAUUAAUCUUUAAUUUAAGAUUGUCAUGUGAUGGAACCUCCCGGAAUACAACCAAAACUGACCACCCCACUAAGGGUACAUGGUGCACCAGGGCCCAGGGAACCUGGCUGCAGGGAUUGCAGCGAACCUGGCCAGAGAGGUGGUACAGGAGAAGAGGGUGCCUAGGGGGUGGAGCAGUCCCAUGCUCACUGGGGCAGGACCCAGGGUAGUGACGGGGGACAGAGAGUGAAGAGGGUGCUCAGCCCCUGCCCUGGUAGCUGCUGUGGAGCCUGUAGGUAUAGGGAGUGAACAGGCUGGAAACUGCUCCUCUCCCCUCCCCUCCUCCCCCCCUGC